GAUUAGUUAGUUGGCGGGGUAAUGGCCCACCAAGACUGUGAUCGGUAUCCGGCCUGAGAGGGCGCACGGACACACUGGAACUGAAACACGGUCCAGACUCCUACGGGAGGCAGCAGUGGGGAAUUUUGCGCAAUGGGGGAAACCCUGACGCAGCAACGCCGCGUGGAGGAUGAAGUCCUUCGGGACGUAAACUCCUUUCGAUCGGGACGAUUAUGACGGUACCGGAAGAAGAAGCCCCGGCUAACUUCGUGCCAGCAGCCGCGGUAAUACGAGGGGGGCGAGCGUUGUUCGGAAUUAUUGGGCGUAAAGGGUGCGUAGGCGGUUUUGUAAGUCUUAUGUGAAAUCUAUGGGCUCAACUCAUAGACUGCAUGAGAAACUGCAGGGCUUGAGUGUGGGAGAGGUGAGUGGAAUUUCCGGCGUAGCGGUGAAAUGCGUAGAUAUCGGAAGGAACACCUGUGGCGAAAGCGGCUCACUGGACCACAACUGACGCUGAUGCACGAAAGCUAGGGGAGCAAACAGGAUUAGAUACCCUGGUAGUCCUAGCCCUAAACGAUGACUGCUUGGUGUGACGGGUACCCAAUCCCGCCGUGCCGUAGCUAACGCGUUAAGCAGUCCGCCUGGGGAGUACGGUCGCAAGGCUG
RNAcentral lists this ribosomal RNA (641 nucleotides) under uncultured bacterium. RNAcentral describes it as "bacterial SSU rRNA". It matches the Rfam family "Bacterial small subunit ribosomal RNA", at positions 239 to 896 of the family's 1533-position model. The record is from RNAcentral.